CCCAUUGACUCUAAUGGUUGACAUGCUUCAUUCCCUCCCUUUCACAGCCUCUACCUUACCACCAAGAGAGUGGAGGACAUCGUCCUGAGGCUCGUCUCCUUGCGCCAGGCCUUCACUGUGAGUGGACCCACUGUUCUUUUUGUCUCUGUGACUUCUUGUUCUGUCUCCAAGAGGAAGAGGUCUCACCCUAACUCUUCCCUAGACCCUGCUUGGUUCCACCCUGAGCAGGAACCAUCUGUUUGUGGCAGGAAAGGCCCUCCUGGGCGGCCUUGUUCAGGCCAACCACAUGGUAACUCACUAACUCAUUCUCUUUCAAGGGAAAGAGAGCGUCCCUGAGGGGAAAUGUGUUCUGUUCACUAAGAUGCUCUUUUCUUUGUCAUAGGACGAGGCCAAAUUCAUCCGUACCUAUAACGACUUUGUGGACUACCUGAGUGACCCCUCCAAGCGGAAUGACAUUGAGAGGGAGCUGGCUGAGGCAAAGGUGAGUUCAUUAACUCUUUCAAGUCUCACUGAGUUCUUCCACAUGCAUGUCUUUUAUACAUCACAGUAGCUGAUCUAUAUGAAAUCAUUCCUAUUUUCUACAAAUGUGUUUUCUUGUCCUAGAUCCAUCAUGUGAACAUGAUAGAUGUCCUCUUUGAGCUGGUGCUGUUUGGGAUGAUGACAGCUCAGAAGUCCCUGAUGGUGCACCCUGGUGGGUUCGUGGAGCGUCUGUACGCUCUCCUGUCCUCCUUCCUGCCCACUGCUGCCAACAUGGAGCCAGAGGCUGAUAGAAUCCUACUGCUGCUCAAUGGCGGACUGAUGGCUCUGCUAGAUGACAUGUUUGGCCAGCAGCUGGCCUGGUAUUUUAACUCCGAGUCUCUGGUCACUGAGCUCUCCAUCCUCCUGGAGUACCACUUGGAGAACCUCAUGGCCAGCAUGUAGUCCUACUGCAGGGACCAUACUCCUUUCUCCUUCUCUCUCUCUUUUGAAGGAAUUGAGGACUUGAAGUGCUUUGUUGAACCCUGAUUAGUUAACACCCAUUAAUUUAAUGUAUUCUCUUGUUUUCUCUCCCCACAGGAUUAUUGUGACACUUUGCCACCCAACAGGGAUCUAGACACCAAUGCACUACAUUACUUUGCACUGAAUUUGACAUUUUUUAAAUAAAAUAAGUUGUAGUUCAAAAUCAUUUUUGUUUC
Molecule: long non-coding RNA, 1175 nt
Filed under: Oncorhynchus kisutch (coho salmon)
Lineage: Eukaryota; Metazoa; Chordata; Actinopteri; Salmoniformes; Salmonidae
Description: lncRNA (ENSOKIG00005007730.1)
Source: RNAcentral